This is a non-coding RNA of Podarcis lilfordi (Lilford's wall lizard), 83 nucleotides long. Lineage: Eukaryota; Metazoa; Chordata; Lepidosauria; Squamata; Lacertidae. The record is from the annotation of a GenBank genome assembly.
GGUAGGAUAGCUCAGCUGGUUAGAGCGUGGUAGUCAUGAUGCCAAGGUUGCAGGUUCAGUGUAUGGGACAGCUGCAUAUUCCA